This is a long non-coding RNA of Brienomyrus brachyistius, 555 nucleotides long. RefSeq lists it as uncharacterized. NCBI's taxonomy places the organism in Eukaryota, Metazoa, Chordata, Actinopteri, Osteoglossiformes, Mormyridae. The record is from RefSeq and is a predicted model, not a curated record. The transcript is spliced from 4 exons.
GACUGGGAGCUGUGCAGGAGAACACAGUGUUUACUGGUUCAGACAUGGAUCAGGAGAAUCCCUUCCUGGAGUCAUUUACAGCCAUGGAAACAGCAGUGAUGAGUGUGAGAAGAGCCCUGAGGCUGGAUCUCCUACACGGAGCUGCGUCUACAGCCUCCCCAAGGGGAACCUCAGCCUCUCCGAUGCUGGGACUUACUACUGCGCUGUGGCCAUGUGUGGGGAGAUGCUGUUUGGGAACGGCACAUAGCUGGAUAUAGAUGGCUUUCAGAAGCUGCUGGAUCCUCUUCACUCUGGCUUGCUGAUAGUUUUAUCUUGCAGCAUUAUUCUGAACGUUGCUCUCAUUUGUAUAAGAUGUAAACUGACCUGUACACACUGUGCAGAUGAAAAGAACAGUGAUAUAUCAAAAGUGGAAUGGUCACGCAAGCAAUGCCAUGACGAGGACACACUGAAUUACGCUGCCCUGAACCUUAAGAAGCCAAAACCCAGGAGACAGAAGAAAGACGGGAAUAAUGACACUCUGUAUUCUGACCUCCGCUACAGAGAUUAUGAAUAAAG